Molecule: long non-coding RNA, 173 nt
Organism: Brienomyrus brachyistius
Lineage: Eukaryota; Metazoa; Chordata; Actinopteri; Osteoglossiformes; Mormyridae
Exons: 3
Source: RefSeq, a predicted model, not a curated record
AGGUGAGAGGCCACUGGUUAGUAUGUCAUGUUACAGAUUGCCCUGUAGCAGGUGAGAGGCCCCUGGCUAGUACGUCAUGUUACAGAUUGCCCUGUAGCAGGUGAGAGGCCCCUAGCUAGUACGUCAUGUUACAGAUUGCCCUGUAGCAGGUGAGAGGCCCCUAGCUAGUACGU